This 298-nucleotide ribosomal RNA is filed under the name Escherichia coli. RNAcentral's name for it is "partial 23S ribosomal RNA". It matches the Rfam family "Bacterial large subunit ribosomal RNA", at positions 1590 to 1869 of the family's 2925-position model. The record is from RNAcentral. Lineage: Bacteria; Pseudomonadati; Pseudomonadota; Gammaproteobacteria; Enterobacterales; Enterobacteriaceae.
GCAACAAAUGCCCUGCUUCCAGGAAAAGCCUCUAAGCAUCAGGUAACAUCAAAUCGUACCCCAAACCGACACAGGUGGUCAGGUAGAGAAUACCAAGGCGCUUGAGAGAACUCGGGUGAAGGAACUAGGCAAAAUGGUGCCGUAACUUCGGGAGAAGGCACGCUGAUAUGUAGGUGAAGUCCCUCGCGGAUGGAGCUGAAAUCAGUCGAAGAUACCAGCUGGCUGCAACUGUUUAUUAAAAACACAGCACUGUGCAAACACGAAAGUGGACGUAUACGGUGUGACGCCUGCCCGGUGC